AUCAGUUUAGAGAGAGAGAGAGAGAGAGAGAGAGAGGGAGUGCGAGAGAGAGAUCGUUCGAUUCUAACGGCGGUGAGGCAGAGAGAGAGAGACCGUUCGAUCCUAACGGCGGCGAGAGAGAGCAAGCGGACCUGAAGAACAAGUCAGAGGAGGCAUCGACGGUUUGUCUCUCUCUCGCCGUUCGAUCCUAUCGGCGGCGAGAGAGAGACCGUUCGAUCCUAACGGCGGCGAGAGAGAGAGAGAGACCGUUCGAUCCUAACGGCGGCGAGAGAGAGAGACCGUUCGAUCCUAACGGCGGCGAGAGAGAGAGAGACCGUUCGAUCCUAACGGCGGCGAGAGAGAGCAAGCGGACCUGAAGAACAAGUCAGAGGAGGUCUUGACUCUUGCGUGUUCGUGGACGAGGACUGAGACGAUGAUUUGAUUCGACUCAGAAAAAACACGGUCGCCGGCGUGCGUGCGUGUUCGGUGACUCAAACUGAUCGAUUACAAAAUAAAAGAUCUUUGUCUUAUCGGCGUUGUUCUUCUUGUUAUCGUUUUUUUUCUUCUUUUUCUUUCUUUCUUUCUUUCUUUCUUUCUUUCUUUCUAAUGUAUUGAUUCUUUUCACUGCUAAGUUUGUUGUCAGGACGGUGAUGUGUGGUUUGGUUGAGCUGUCAUGAUGCGUCUCUGGAGGUUUAGCACUUUGAGCCCAAUUGAUCUCUUUAUCUAUCAUGUCUUCUUAGCUUCUAUCAUGUUGUUAGUCGAAGCUUUAACAAUGCCAAUGACAAGAGACUGCUUCUGCCCCCAGCUUCCUGCUAGUUCCAAUUCUUACAUGACAAGUGAUCCUGGUGUUGUGAACUACUUCAAUCUUUUGUUAGAGAGAUGAAGCUCAAUCGUCAAGUCAGGCAAAUGAUGGAGAUAUUAUCAAGGAUGAUGCUAAACUCGUGGACCCAAAUGAUGGUAGAAUUCUCUUCACUGUACCAGAAUUCAGGGCAAAACCCUUGAUUUUACUGAGCCAAAUGGAGUCCAGAAGCAGGUUUGCUUACAAUGCUUGAAGCUAAGUAUAAGAUUGGAGAUAUGCUAUGGUUUGAAGAAUGAAUAAGAUUCAGAACCAAAAAGGUAAAACAUCAAACUGAUUCUUCUUGUUAUAGGUGUCUUUGACUCAAUACAUCUUCCGUUCUCGUCCACUUUGAUUUCCCAAUCUUUAAGUCAGUAAGUUGCUUUAAACACACAGAUUUACUUUAUUUCAAUUUUAUAAACUGUAAUGCAUUUUCAGAUACUCGAAGAGAGCUAAAUGGUGUCAUGAGUGUUUUCUUUGUUUCUUGUUUUUCUUUCUAUCAACAGUGUAACAAGAAUCUCAGGUUUAUGUUUCGUUUUGCAGGUUUUCAUAAAGUGGAUGUGUUUGGAAAAAAACAUUUUGCAGUAAAUUUUUUUUUUUUUGAGCUCUUCACAGUAACGUUUUUGAGUUAUGUUUGGUUAGGCUGAAGGGAAAGAAGAAGGAGAAAAUGAUGAAGAAGUUGAAGAAUCAGAGGGAGAAGAAUCUGAUUACAGAGAAUCAAGACUUCAAUGAUGGUGACAGGCGAUUAAAAUUAGGCAGAUGAUGGAGGGAUAAAUAUGGGGAUAUUAAAUAGUGGGUUUCUUUCUUUCUUUGGGCUGAAACAGGUGUGUGUUCGUGUUUUCCAACCAAGACGAUGAUUGAAGAAAGAAGAAGGUUCAUAGCAAAGCAAUCAGAUGAUGCUCUUCUCGGAGCUGUUGGAUGGUUCGUGCGGCUCUUGAAGUAUUUGUCAAUUUUAAGACCGAUAACAGUGUUAAAGUGACGAGAGAGUAAACAGGCCUGAACAAGUCAGAGGUUUGUGUCUGUGGCUGUGUGUUCCAAACCAGGACGAUGAAUCAUAAUUUCUCAAGGACGUACGAAAGCAUCAAGGUUUAUCACUCAUAGGGAGGAGACUUAUCUUGUAAGUAUGUUGUUGUCAGGACGGUGAUCUUGGUUGAGCUGUCAUGAUGCGUCUUUGGAGGUUUAGCACUUUGAGCCCAGUUGAUCUUUAUCUAUCCUCGUCUUCUUAGCUUCUAUCAUGUUGUUAGUCGAAACAUUAAAACGCCAAUGACAAGAGACUGCUUCUUCCCCCAGUCAUAGGCUUCCUGCUAGUUCCAAUUCUUACAUUACAAGUGAUCCUGGUGUUGUGAAGGAACUACGUACUUCUUUUGGUAGAGAGAAGAUGCUCAAUCGUCAAGUCAGGCAAUGAUAGGCUUCCUGCGAGUUCCAAUUCUUACAUGACAAGUGAUCCUGGUGUUGUGACUUGUAAGGAACUAGUUGCUUCUUUAGGUAGAGAGAAGAAGCUCAAUCGUAAAGUCAGGCAAAUGAUGCUGAACUCGUGGACCCAAAUGAUGGUAGAAUCCUCUUCAUUGUACUACUCAAGUGGAAGAGCACGGCCUGUGAUGGAGUCAAGAAGCAGGUUUGCAUGAAGAAUGAAGAAGAUUCGUAACCAAUAAGGCAACAACGUCAAACUGAUUCUUCUUUUUAAAUGGAGUCAAGAAGCAGGUUUGCAUAAAUUGGAUGUGUUUGAAAAAAGCUUGAAGGUAAGUUUAAGUUAUGAAAACACACAAUUUCCCAGUAAAUUAUUUUUCAGAGCUCUUCACAGUAACGUUUUUGAGUUAUAUUUUGUUAGGCUGAGUAACAAUUGUGUGUUUUCAUACUUCAGACUCCAGUGCCAAAUCCAGAACUGAUUCUAGUUAUUGAUGAGUUUUUUCUUAAUACCACUGAUGGUUUUGGUUGCAGGUCUAAGUGAUGAGUUAAGAUAUGCGUACUAAAGAAUCGAGUCCAGAAGCAAGUUUGGAAGAAAAGCUUGAAGCUAAGUAUAAGAUGGGUGAUAUGCUAUGAGUUUGAAGAAAGAAGAAGAUUCAGAACCAAAAGAUACUCGGAAGAGGACAAUCUGUUAAGCGGGAAUCAAGAACUAGUUUAACCUUUUGAUCAUUCAUCCGGGAGCUUACUGGAGGUAUUUGCAAAUGGACAAGGUGAGGAAGUUCGCUUUUGUACUGAGUCCUAUUCUGCAAGAGAGGUGAUGGAUGUUCAGAGGACAUGGCGUCUUCAACUCUCAUCUGACUUGACGAGAAACUCCACAACAAUCAAAAAGAUUCUGUGAAACAUCUCUCCACAUAAAUCAACUCAUCCCCGGAGGAGAGAAGAAGCUCAGUCGUCGACGCAAAGACUCCAUUGCUUUUCCCAACAAUUCAGGCAUGUCGUUCAUUACUCAACAAAAUCACUCAAUACAUUUGUUUCAGUAGUUCCCCUCCGAUAAUUCAAGGAAAUCAUAGCCAGCUCUACCAAACUGAUUCAGGAAAAUAGAGCUCUCAAAAGGCAAAAGCUAGAUGAUGCCAAAUUGUUACAAAACAGCAUGUUUCACUUGUAAUCUCACUCUGCAUAACUGAAACUCUUUCCUCCUCAGCAUGUAGAUUCUCUCAACGACAACAACAAAACAAGUCAACAACAAUAACAGAUAAAACCUCUGUGAUGAACAGAAGAGGACGUUGUUUUCAUGACUUCUUCAACUCUCAUCUGAGUUGACGAGAAACUCUACAACCAGAAAAAGAUUCUAUGAAACAGCUCUCUACAAAAAACAACUCAUCACCCGGGAGAAGAAGCUUAAUCGUUGAGGCUAAGACUCCAUGUUGUUCGAACAAAUGAUGGAGGUUCAGUUUCUUCUCAUUAAUGUUAGGGAUGAUGCUGAAUUAUCACCCAAACGGUGGAAAUCCCCUCUUCUUGCACUGUAAGUCAUCUCAAAAUCCUCUCUGCUUUUCUUUAUUUUGUUUUCUUUCAAGUUUAUCCAUCUCCCUGAACCUAAGUAUUUUUCAAUAUAUAAUCAUGUUCAGGCAUUUUCUUAGCUUCAAGUAGUCUUACUUACUUUAUAGGUAAGGUUCUUUAAUACAUCGAUCUAUUGUUAAUAUGAGAGAGCAUAUAUAUAGGAAGCAAAGUGACUCGGAAACUGUUUACUUGACACAUCAAAGAGUAAGUCGUCCUUCUUAACUUUUGUGCACAAUGUGAUUAGUAUAUACUCUUACUAUCAUACAUAAUUAGCCUUGUGUAUAUUUCAUAAGCUGUGUAGAUGACUAGGCCAUUCUCUUAGCCUUGAAACAUAAUUUUUUACGGAACUUGUUGAAAUGCAUCUUCGUUAGCUAUCAUUUUUGGUGUGUGUAGUUGCACUAAUGGUCUCAAGUUCUUUCAACAAUAUAAGAAACCUUGGUCUCAGUUUAAAAGCAAAUUUUGACUUAUUUUAUUGGUAACUACAAUUUCAAAUUGAGAAAAUUAAUACAAAGUCCUAAUUGUUUGUAAGUAA
This is a non-coding RNA of Camelina sativa (false flax), 4307 nucleotides long. The record is from RefSeq and is a predicted model, not a curated record. NCBI's taxonomy places the organism in Eukaryota, Viridiplantae, Streptophyta, Magnoliopsida, Brassicales, Brassicaceae.